This 184-nucleotide ribosomal RNA is filed under the name uncultured bacterium. Its description in RNAcentral is "partial 16S ribosomal RNA". It matches the Rfam family "Bacterial small subunit ribosomal RNA", at positions 330 to 509 of the family's 1533-position model. The record is from RNAcentral.
AGUGCGCUCCUACGGGAAGGCAGCAGUGAGGAAUAUUGGUCAAUGGGCGGGAGCCUGAACCAGCCAAGUCGCGUGAGGGAAGACGGUCCUAUGGAUUGUAAACCUCUUUUGUCGGGGAGCAAAGAGGCCACGUGUGGUCAAAAGCGAGAGUACCCGAAGAAAAAGCAUCGGCUAACUCCGUGCC